RNAcentral lists this ribosomal RNA (856 nucleotides) under uncultured bacterium. RNAcentral describes it as "bacterial SSU rRNA". It matches the Rfam family "Bacterial small subunit ribosomal RNA", at positions 654 to 1506 of the family's 1533-position model. The record is from RNAcentral.
AGGGAGACUGGAAUUCCUGGUGUAGCGGUGAAAUGCGCAGAUAUCAGGAGGAGCACCGGUGGCGAAGGCGGGUCUCUGGGCAACAACUGACGCUGAGGAGCGAAAGCGUGGGGAGCGAACAGGAUUAGAUACCCUGGUAGUCCACGCCGUAAACGUUGGGCGCUAGGUGUGGGGCUCAUUCCACGAGUUCCGUGCCGCAGCUAACGCAUUAAGCGCCCCGCCUGGGGAGUACGGCCGCAAGGCUAAAACUCAAAGGAAUUGACGGGGGCCCGCACAAGCGGCGGAGCAUGUUGCUUAAUUCGAUGCAACGCGAAGAACCUUACCUAGGCUUGACAUGCACGGAAAUCUCCCAGAGAUGGGGGGUCCGUAAGGGCCGUGCACAGGUGGUGCAUGGUUGUCGUCAGCUCGUGUCGUGAGAUGUUGGGUUAAGUCCCGCAACGAGCGCAACCCUCGUCCUAUGUUGCCAGCACGUGAUGGUGGGGACUCAUAGGAGACUGCCGGGGUCAACUCGGAGGAAGGUGGGGAUGACGUCAAAUCAUCAUGCCCCUUAUGUCUAGGGCUGCAAACAUGCUACAAUGGCCGGUACAAAGGGCUGCGAUACCGCGAGGUGGAGCGAAUCCCAAAAAGCCGGUCUCAGUUCGGAUUGGGGUCUGCAACUCGACCCCAUGAAGUUGGAGUCGCUAGUAAUCGCAGAUCAGCAAUGCUGCGGUGAAUACGUUCCCGGGCCUUGUACACACCGCCCGUCACGUCACGAAAGUCGGUAACGCCCGAAGCCGGUGGCCCAACCCCUUGUGGGAGGGAGCCGUCGAAGGCGGGAUCGGCGAUUGGGACGAAGUCGUAACAAGGUAACCAAGGG